This is a non-coding RNA of Mycena galericulata, 91 nucleotides long. The record is from the annotation of a GenBank genome assembly. NCBI's taxonomy places the organism in Eukaryota, Fungi, Basidiomycota, Agaricomycetes, Agaricales, Mycenaceae.
CCGACUUUAGCUCAGUUGGAAGAGCAUCAGACUGUAAUUGGCUUACCUAAUCACCAUCUGGGUGUCGCCUGUUCGAACCAGGCAAGUCGGA